CGUUCUCUAGUUAAUUGACAGGGUGUUAAUCUCUCAUCUAUUGUUUUGUAUGUUAACGGUAAAUGCCCUAAGAAUAUAAUUCAUUACACACAAAUCUACAUGUUUCAGUCAGCAAAUAUUUCAUGUAUAGUAAAAUUUAGAAUGGAAAUGGGGAAUGUGUCAAAGAGACAACAACCCGACCAAAAAAAAAAAAAAAAAAAAAAAAAAAAAAAAAAAAAUAUACAACUGCUUUUUAUAUAUAAAUACUAUUCCCUCUAAAGUUAUUAAAAUUUGAAUUGUUUACACCAAUGCAGAGUGUCGGGGAAAUCUACAGCUAUAUGCUAUAUUAAUUAAACAGCUUCAUUGGGAUUCAUUGUUAACCAAC
RNAcentral lists this long non-coding RNA (364 nucleotides) under Mytilus galloprovincialis (Mediterranean mussel). Lineage: Eukaryota; Metazoa; Mollusca; Bivalvia; Mytilida; Mytilidae. The record is from RNAcentral.